ACAUACCUAAAACGUUGCUUCGGCGGGAACAGACGGCCCUGUAACAACGGGCCGCCCCCGCCAGAGGACCCCUAACUCUGUUUUUAUAAUGUUUUUCUGAGUAAACAAGCAAAUAAAUUAAAACUUUCAACAACGGAUCUCUUGGCUCUGGCAUCGAUGAAGAACGCAGCGAAAUGCGAUAAGUAAUGUGAAUUGCAGAAUUCAGUGAAUCAUCGAAUCUUUGAACGCACAUUGCGCCCGCCAGUAUUCUGGCGGGCAUGCCUGUUCGAGCGUCAUUACAACCCUCAGGCCCCCGGGCCUGGCGUUGGGGAUCGGCGGAAGCCCCCUGUGGGCACACGCCGUCCCUCAAAUACAGUGGCGGUCCCGCCGCAGCUUCCAUUGCGUAGUAGCUAACACCUCGCAACUGGAGAGCGGCGCGGCCAUGCCGUAAAACACCCAACUUCUGAAUGUUGACCUCGAAUCAGGUAGGAAU
Molecule: ribosomal RNA, 472 nt
Filed under: Fusarium solani
Lineage: Eukaryota; Fungi; Ascomycota; Sordariomycetes; Hypocreales; Nectriaceae
Description: eukaryotic LSU rRNA
Rfam family: 5.8S ribosomal RNA (bases 122-275)
Source: RNAcentral